UUUCCACUUUAUUGGAACAAAUUUUAUUUGAAUUUUCUUCAAGAUAUUUAUUUAAUUGUAUAUUGCUAUAAUCAACAUGAAGAUUAAUUAAUUUUUCAAAUGCCUCUUAGAAGUAGUGAAUCUAAUUUUUAAUAUUAGUGCUUCCCCUCAAAAAGUUUAAACAUGUGCACAUUCUCAUGGAUUGAUUCCUUAAUUUACAACUUUGCACAAUUUUGAAACUAACGUAUAUAUGACAAAAACAGGAAUACAAUAGUUUUUAGUGGUAGAUGAUUUUUAUAUAGUUAAUAUUUUUUUAGUUCCAUUGCCACUUAUAAAUGGCCAUUAAUAUUAGAUUGAAUUAAUUAUGAAUAUAAGAACAAGCACCGUGAAACUAAUUUGAAUUUUAGUAUAAAACUUUGAAAUGAAUAGUAGAAAUUGACAAUGAACAUUCCACUCGACAAUAAUCAAUGAAUAUUCCAAGCCUUUAUGUAUGGUUGGAUUCUUUUAUUUAAGUUCUCUUAUUUAGAACUCCCUUCAUGCCAUAUCAUUAAGCAUUAUGAAAUGUUAAUCAUGGAAAAUUUUGGGUGCAUUGUUAUGUGUUUUCCUUCUCUAAAAUGGGAUAUCCAUGAAGUUUUGGAGUUUAUGCAUGUGCAGAAAUAAUAAUAGCUUAAUAUGUGUCUUUUAAUGAACCAAUGCUGUAUUCUAUUAAAAAUGCACCAAAUUUUAUUUCGUUUUAAAAUACAUCAAGUAGGCUUUAGGAUUGAGGUUCAAUUUUUUUUUUCCCAUCAAUUACUUUUUUUUUUUAUAGGUAAUGUUUACUAUGACUUGAGCUACAUUGUCUAAGGAAGUCAAACACUUUAGUUAGAGUUCUGUUUUUUUGUUUAUGUGUCCUUUGUAUGUUUAAUUAUUUGGUUGAUUUAUUAAUUGAUGUGAUAUAUCAAUAAUAGGUUGUUGGUUGUUGUAUCUUCAUCAUGAUCACAAGGCCUCAUCAAUAUAUCUUCAAUUAUUAGGUUGUUUGUCUCGUAUAGCUGUUUUGACAUAGAAAAAAAAAAUUUAGAACUCCACAAUGUUUAAGUUAAAAAGCGAAAGGUUAUACAAAACAAACACGUCUAAAUAAUCAAAGCUAGACACUACAUCUCAAAAAUGUUAAACCCAUUCGUCCAAAGCUAAUUGCCAUCAAGACUGCCUAUUUUCUUCCUCAAAUAAACGCAUUUGUCGGUAUGUUUUUUCCAUCCUCUUGUCGAAGCACAAAUUCACAAAGAUCUUUGAUAGAUAAGAUGGUGGGUAUUUUGCAAGAAGAUUACAGAAUCAAAAGGUUAGGAACUGCCAUUGUGAGAUUGUCUUACCACAAUCUUCAGCCUUACUGCUACUGUUAGACUGCUGGAACCACUGCUGGGACGUCACAAGGCAGCAAGAGAGAAGAGCAAGAAAACAAACUGCAGACAAAGAAGGUACAGGCAAUAGGGGGAGGCUUCAGUUGAACUUUGAAGUUAACAAAGAAGACAGAGAUGGGUUUUUCUUAAUGUGGUACCCAUGAAAUAUCUUCAACCUACAAUUCAAUUGCUAUCAGGUACUAGAUCUCUUGGAGAUAGCAAAGGAUAUCACUUUCUUACCCUUUUUCAUAACCAUCACAACUCCAAAGUCAAAACAAAGUCUUAAUUGCUACUUAGAGCCAGAGAGUAGUUGAAAAAGAGGUAGAGACAAAUAAGAAAAUGAAUAUUGGUGAAACUGAGAAAAGUGCAAAUAUUAUCAAGAGUCUAAUGAAGUAGGAGUUGAUGGAAAAGGACAAUGGUAGGAAGCAUCAAGAAAUUGAAAACCAAAUGUACACGGCUCAAGGAAAAAGCAAGACAAUGCAAAUUUCUAUUGCAGAUGAAGAAAUUAUGAGAUUAAAUGCAAUGAUCAAAGGCAUGGUUGUUGACAACUUUGGACCUACAAGAUUUAGAGAUGAAGCAUGAAGUCGUUAAGCAAGGAUUAAAAUAUUUGAAAGAUUUUAAUAAGUAGAACUUCUUCUUUUUUCAUUUUAAUUAAUUAUUAUUUUUGAAUAAGUGCAUUUCUUUAUUUCUAUUAAUUAUAUGUAUUGUUGUAUUAUGAGUUUUAUAUUAUUUAAACUAGCAAGAAAACACACUUACUGAUUGUUUUAUAAACUGUAUACUAUAAUGCAUUAGUUAAAUAGUAUAAAUUUUAUGUUGACCUUUGGAUCUGA
This is a long non-coding RNA of Quercus robur (English oak), 2182 nucleotides long. RefSeq lists it as uncharacterized. The record is from RefSeq and is a predicted model, not a curated record. The transcript is spliced from 5 exons. NCBI's taxonomy places the organism in Eukaryota, Viridiplantae, Streptophyta, Magnoliopsida, Fagales, Fagaceae.